Molecule: ribosomal RNA, 458 nt
Filed under: uncultured bacterium
Lineage: Bacteria
Description: bacterial SSU rRNA
Rfam family: Bacterial small subunit ribosomal RNA
Source: RNAcentral
GGACCCGCACAACUGGUGGAGCGUGUGGUUUAAUUUGAGACGAAGCAAAAAACCUUACCAAGGUUUGACAUGUUACCGUUUUAUACCUAUGGAAACACUGGUAGAUCCGCAAGGAUGGUAACACAGGUGCUGCAUGGCUGUCGUCAGCUCGUGUCGUGAGAUGUUCCCUUAAGUGGGGAAACGAGCGCAACCCCCGUGAAAUGUUACAUAUUCAUUUCAGACGGUCCCGAUCAUAUCGGGAAGGAAGGAGGGGAAGACGUCAAGUCAGCAUGGUCCUUACACCUUGGGAUACACACACCCUACAAUGGCGAAGAACAAUGGGCUGCAAGCUAGUAAUAGCAAGCUAAUCUCAGAAAUUUCGCCUCAGUUCAGAUUGGGGGCUGCAACUCGCCCCCAUGAAGUCGGAAUCAGUAGUAAUCGCGGAUCAGAAGGCCGCGGUGAAUACGUUCUCGGGUCUU